UUACAUUUUCAGCAGAUUAAAUAACAUGCUGCCCUCAAUAUUUUGAAUGCAGCUGUGUUUCUUGCCCUUAUCUCGGUUUAAUUCAUACUUACUCCUUAUAAACCAGUUAUUACGUAAAGACACAGUCAUCAUUCGACAUACUACCUACCACGAAUUCGAAAAUGGAUCCCCGACGGCGAUGCGAGAAAGUGCAGCUGGCGUGGCGCGCACACCAGCAGUUGCGCACCGACCACGCAAAACAAAAGCCUGUCACACUGGCAGCUACUAAUAACAACAAUAAAAAAAGUUUGAAUACAAAACACUGGCUGGUGAUAAAGUGUUAAUGCUCGUAAUGGAAGAGUUUUGUUAAUGUGAAAUUGAAAUGGAGGUGCUCUUGGAUAAUCGAAGCUGACGCGGUGACAUGAGCUAUUGAAUAGCUUUGUUGGGACAUAUACCAUUGGAUUACAGCCUAAGAACAAUGGCGACCAGACUUCUUCUUUCAAUGGUGGUACUCCUCUGCAGCUAUUCGACCAAUGGCGUUUCAGGCUCAGGCUGGUCCACCAAUGAGCUGGAUGGAAACGAGCCUCGAACCUUCGGUCCAUCACUCAUGGACGCUAUCUUCAUGUACAUGGACUCCUUGUUCGGCAAAGGAGGCGUCGAGUCUAACAUCAUGCGGGAAAUAUUCAACCUCCUUGAUGAUGAAAUUAUGGUUUUCGACAGUCAGGUCGGAUUUGCUGGCUAGGUCUGUUAUUUUUAAACAGCAUGCAGUAAGAGCUAAUGUGAUAGUUUUUAAAUUCAUUAAAGGUUACUUACCUAUUAAAUUAUUAAUUAGAUUUUAAUUAGAAAGAAAUAACAUUACACAAUAUUAACUAAG
Plutella xylostella (diamondback moth) is the source of this 853-nucleotide long non-coding RNA. RefSeq lists it as uncharacterized. The record is from RefSeq and is a predicted model, not a curated record. Lineage: Eukaryota; Metazoa; Arthropoda; Insecta; Lepidoptera; Plutellidae.